UACGAAGGGGGCUAGCGUUGCUCGGAAUCACUGGGCGUAAAGCGCACGUAGGCGGACUCUUAAGUCGGUGGUGAAAUCCUGGAGCUCAACUCCAGAACUGCCUUCGAUACUGGGAGUCUCGAGUUCGGGAGAGGUGAGUGGAACUGCGAGUGUAGAGGUGAAAUUCGUAGAUAUUCGCAAGAACACCAGUGGCGAAGGCGGCUCACUGGCCCGAUACUGACGCUGAGGUGGCGAAA
Molecule: ribosomal RNA, 236 nt
Filed under: uncultured bacterium
Lineage: Bacteria
Description: partial 16S ribosomal RNA
Rfam family: Bacterial small subunit ribosomal RNA
Source: RNAcentral